RNAcentral lists this ribosomal RNA (441 nucleotides) under uncultured bacterium. Its description in RNAcentral is "partial 16S ribosomal RNA". It matches the Rfam family "Bacterial small subunit ribosomal RNA", at positions 338 to 795 of the family's 1533-position model. The record is from RNAcentral.
CCUACGGGGGGCAGCAGUGGGGAAUAUUGCGCAAUGGGGGAAACCCUGACGCAGCAACGCCGCGUGAUUGAAGACGGCCUUCGGGUUGUAAAGAUCUUUAAUCGGGGACGAAUUUUGAGGGUACUGGAAGAAUAAGCUACGGCUAACUACGUGCAAGAAGCCGCGGUAAUAGGAAGGGAGCAAGCGUUAUCCGGAUUUACUGGGUGUAAAGGGCGUGUAGGCGGGGAUGCAAGCCUGAAGUGAAAUCUGGGGGCUUAACCCCCAAACUGCUUUUGAAACUGCGUGUCUUGAGUGAUGGAGAGGCAUGCGGAAUUCCCAGUGUAGCGGUGAAAUGCGUAGAUAUUGGGAGGAACACCAGUGGCGAAGGCGGCCUGCUGGACAUUAACUGACGCUGAGGCGCGAAAGCGUGGGGAGCAAACAGGAUUAGAUACCCCUGUAGUC